AAGCGGAGGAAAAGAAACCAACAGGGAUUGCCCUAGUAACGGCGAGUGAAGCGGCAACAGCUCAAAUUUGAAAUCUGGCCUCGGCCCGAGUUGUAAUUUGCAGAGGAUGUUUCUGGCGCGGUGCCUUCCGAGUUCCCUGGAACGGGACGCCACAGAGGGUGAGAGCCCCGUAUGGUUGGACACUAAGCCUGUGUGAAACUCCUUCGACGAGUCGAGUAGUUUGGGAAUGCUGCUCAAAAUGGGAGGUAAAUCUCUUCUAAAGCUAAAUACCGGCCAGAGACCGAUAGCGCACAAGUAGAGUGAUCGAAAGAUGAAAAGCACCUUGAAAAGGGGGUUAAACAGUACGUGAAAUUGUUGAAAGGGAAGCGCUUGUGACCAGACUUGCGCCGGGCGGCUCAUCCGGGGUUUUCCCCGGUGCACUCCGCCCGGCUCAGGCCAGCAUCGGUUCUCGUUGGGGGAUAAGAACGGCAGGAACGUGGCCCUCCUUCGGGUGGGUGUUAUAGCCUGCCGUACGAUACCCUGACGGGGACCGAGGUUCGCGCUCCGCAAGGAUGCUGGCGUAAUGGUCAUCAGCGACCCGUCUUGAAACACGGACCAAGGAGUCGUCCAUUAGAGCGAGCGUUUGGGUGUCAAACCCGCACGCGUAAUGAAAGUGAAAUUAGGUGAGAGCUUCGGCGCAUCAUCGACCGAUCCUGAUGUUCUCGGAUGGAUUUGAGUAAGAGUUUUAACGGACGGACCCGAAAGACAGUGAACUAUGCUUGUAUAGGGUGAAGCCAGAGGAAACUCUGGUGGAGGCUCGCAGCGGUUCUGACGUGCAAAUCGAUCGUCAAAUAUGAGCAUGGGGGCGAAAGACUAAUCGAA
This 861-nucleotide ribosomal RNA is filed under the name Chrysoporthe hodgesiana. RNAcentral describes it as "LSU rRNA". It matches the Rfam family "Eukaryotic large subunit ribosomal RNA", at positions 48 to 939 of the family's 3401-position model. The record is from RNAcentral. Lineage: Eukaryota; Fungi; Ascomycota; Sordariomycetes; Diaporthales; Cryphonectriaceae.